UACAGAGGGGGCAAGCGUUGUUCGGAAUUACUGGUCGUAAAGGGCGCGUAGGCGGCCCGCUAAGUCGAACGUGAAAUCCCUCAGCUUAACUGGGGAACUGCGUCUGAUACUGGAUGGCUUGGAUUCGGGAGAGGAAUGCGGAAUUCCAGGUGUAGCGGUGAAAUGCGUAGAUAUCUGGAGGAACACCGGUGGCGAAGGCGGCAUUCUGGACCGAUAUUGACGCUGAGGAGCGAAAGCCAGGGGAGCAAACGGG
RNAcentral lists this ribosomal RNA (253 nucleotides) under uncultured bacterium. RNAcentral describes it as "partial 16S ribosomal RNA". It matches the Rfam family "Bacterial small subunit ribosomal RNA", at positions 524 to 776 of the family's 1533-position model. The record is from RNAcentral.